GGGGCAUGGUUUAGCAAUGACCUUCUGUGUGUGUGUGUGUGCGCGCGCGCGCAAGGGUGCGCGCAGGACAGGGCUCCUAACACCACGUGGAAGCCAAAGAUACCCCCAGAGUGCCACCUCGUUUUCUGCCUGUUUGCUUUACUUCAUCUCCCCUUCCCCCGCCACACCUUGCUGAACCCCAAAAUUCCUGGAGAGAAGAUCUCAUCUUUGGCUCCCUUUUCAUGCUGUCCCUCCGGUAUCGGACCCAGGAUUUCCGCUUCAGAAAACAAGCAGCGCUGUCUGCUCCCAGGAAGUUCUUCCUCUCCUCUCACUCCAGUCUUUCUUGCUGCUGAAAAGCUCUAUAUUUGAAUAAGAGAAAGAGUGAACGGGGGCGCCUGGGUGGCACAGCGGUUAAGCGUCUGCCUUCGGCUCAGGGCGUGAUCCCGGCGUUAUGGGAUCGAGCCCCGCAUCAGGCUCCUCUGCUAUGAGCCUGCUUCUUCCUCUCGCACUCCCCCUGCUUGUGUUCCCUCUCUCGCUGGCUGUCUCUAUCUCUGUCAAAUAAAUAAAUAAAAUCUUUAAAAAAAAAAAAAGAGAAAGAGUGAACGAAGAAUAAAUAUAUUAUAUGGGAAUAAAUCUACUGGUGGGAUCAACAUUUCCUAAUAAGAUGAUCCAUAACUGAAAGUAUCAUGUGCAGACCUACAAUCAGUAAUAUCCUUUCUCAGUACUCAUAAAUAUCUCUACUUCCCCAUUUCUCUUCAUGUCCUCUUUCCCCCUAUUUAAUACCACACAUGAAAGUUACUUAACAAUCUUUAGCUCUGUGUUAAGCACAGUGCAGAGAAUAUAAAAAUGAGCAGAGUAUAGUCUCCCCCAUCCAGAAGCUGACAGUUGAGUGAGGGAGAAAAGGAAGACACAAGGUAAUUAUAGCUGAAGACAAUGUGCAGAGAGAAUAUAUAGUCAGAGUGACACAAAGGAGUAGAGGAGAUCAAAGGAAAAAAAUUUGUUCAGAGGCAGAAAAUCCAGGAAGAGGUAGGCAGAGGUAAUGUUUAAAGUGGACCUUGAUGAUUGUGUAGGAUUUUAGUAGUCAGAGAUUGGGAAGACAGAACUCGAAGGAAAGACAUAGCUACUGGGAAGGAUUUCUUGACUUUCGGCAUCAUUUGAUAUUGAACUUCUGUUCAUCAUGAGAGAGUGAAAUGCAAGGACCAGUGAAAUUUAAGAUAAAACUACAGAAUCUGGAGGCUUUGAAUACACAAGAUAAGAGCCAGGGCCUGGGUCCCAACUCAGGUUCCAUUUAUCCCCACUUCUCUUCCACUUGAUCUUAUUGAAGGGGCAAUGGUUCAAAUGGGACAGGGUACCCAUUAUGCCUCCAUCUAUAUAUCUCUCAUCACCUCUUUCUCCCCACUGAGUUCCUUAAUAAGAAUAAAAGUGUUUCUUAAUCUCAUCAAUGAGAAGACCACAAAGGGCUGAAAAGCAUAUACCACACAAAUUAAGUCAGGUAAUUUGCAUACCUGGGGAAAGAGAGAAACCCCUCCUCCCAUCUCCAUAGUCAAUUUUCCUAGAUCUAAUGACGCUCUAUGUCAAUAAAUAUCUAUUUUUCCUCCUUCUCUGGACGAGAGGUGAGGUGAAAUAUCAGAUGUAAACUAAAGUUUGUCAUAAAAAUCCCUCAUAGAACAGUCUCCCAAGUACUGUCAUUGGAAGGUGGAGGAGGGGUGCCUGUGC
This 1695-nucleotide long non-coding RNA is filed under the name Ailuropoda melanoleuca (giant panda). RNAcentral describes it as "lncRNA (ENSAMEG00000025306.1)". The record is from RNAcentral. Lineage: Eukaryota; Metazoa; Chordata; Mammalia; Carnivora; Ursidae.